GGGAGACAGAGGCAGAAGCCAGCAGGGAGGUGCCUGCAUCCUCCAGACGAAAGACGAUACAGAUACGCUGCAAGACAGGGGCCUGAAGGGAAGCAACCAUCGAAACAGAGAGAGCAAACGGGGGUCUACUUACGCACUCCAGGCCAGGAAGAAGACAGCAGUCAAGGUGUGGACUGCCAUGGGCAGACUGGUCCAAAGUUUUGGAGGCAGAGGCAUUUCCUGAGACCCAGCUUUGGAGUCCUUCUGCUCCAGGCAGACCCUGUCAAGUAACUGGAACUGUCAUGCAAACUGAGGCAUAUGUGCCAUUCCUGGCAUUAACUGUAAAGUCCGGGUGGGACUUCCUUUCACUUAUUCAACAAUGGAGGCACCAGGAACUACCUGCAAAGGGCACGGCAGAGGGAAUUCGUGCUUAUGCGAGGAUGAGUCAGGUGACCGCUAAGACCCCUUGAAGAGCCCGUGGUUCAGAUGACGGCUCUCCCUGCUCCGAGCAUGCGGCCACCCACGACACAGAGAGAAAAAUCCAGCCCAGCCUGGGUUAAAACGUGCGAACUAAAUCUUUCUGAAAACGUCUCCUAUGCAUUUCUUUCCCCCUUAUCUUUAUUGGCCUCCUGAAAUGCCUUAUCUGCCCAGGCAUGAUUCUGUCCUCAAUCUCUGUCUAUGAGCACAAUUACCAUUUCUGCUUCUUCCACAAGGUAAAAAUGAAUCAUGAAAUGCAAGACAUGAACUUACCUUGUCCACUCAGCCAUAGGCAGACUGGCUUCGUCUCCAAAUGGUGCACUCCCCCACAAAAAAUCACAGCAGACGGUUUUAUUCUUCAGCCCAAAGCACUUAGCAUUGCGGGGAGACAUCUGCUGCAGACAAAUCUUGGGUCUUUGGAGCUUUAAUACUCUAAAAUUUAUUCCUCUCCACCACCUGGACGCUCAGGGGUCCAUUUGUGGACUUUUCCACCUAAUGCUGCCUUGCAAGCUAAUGGGCAGUUGGUUCACAGGCAUGUAAGUUGCAGCUCAUCUGUUAAAACCCCUACAUCCGUAUUGCAGCAGGAAGGGGAGAGAAUUAACCAUCAGCUUCUUGUCUUACCUUUAUUAACUGCUUCAACAAACAAAUACUAAGCGCCAGAUUCGAUGCUAUUUUCUAGAGUAGGAUCUAGAGGUAGAAUAAGGAGUAAGAAAUAGUUUCUUUUACAACCUGGGGUUCAUGAAUGGGCUUUAGAAGGUCUAUGUAUCUUU
Long non-coding RNA from Neofelis nebulosa (Clouded leopard), 1226 nucleotides. RefSeq lists it as uncharacterized. The record is from RefSeq and is a predicted model, not a curated record. NCBI's taxonomy places the organism in Eukaryota, Metazoa, Chordata, Mammalia, Carnivora, Felidae. The transcript is spliced from 3 exons.